This is a long non-coding RNA of Dermochelys coriacea (leatherback sea turtle), 5653 nucleotides long. RefSeq lists it as uncharacterized. The record is from RefSeq and is a predicted model, not a curated record. The transcript is spliced from 2 exons. NCBI's taxonomy places the organism in Eukaryota, Metazoa, Chordata, Testudines, Dermochelyidae.
AUUUAAUUUACCUGUAUAGCAUUGAAAAGGAGCUUAAAGGUUAUUAGCACUCCCCAUUCAAUAACACCAAACACUGACUCAGCCUGGGUAAGGGGGUUGACUCUGCAGUGCUUGAUAAAGAUGGAAUAUCUUGUAGGAGCUUAACAGACCUCCCUGUAUGAUGUGUGACCUCACUGCCCACAAAAUUGCUGCUCUUUUCAGAAAAUGCAUAGUAACUUAAGAAAUUGUAGCUGAGGCUUGUAUGCCUCUGCCAUAUACACCUUUGUUCCUCUGUAGAUUUUGUUCACAACUUAUGUAUGUACUACUUUAAUAUAUUUGGAUUCAACUGGGAGGGCAACAAUACCUCUCCCUAUUAUCUGAGGAAGAUUGUGGUGAUGUUGGGGAUGGAGGCCUGUUUAGUUCACACAACUACCGUGUUUGAUAGAAUAUUGAAAUGAAGUUUCAUUGAGAAUAUACCAGUCUCUGAAACCCUUUUGGAGAAGGACGUGGUGAGUAGGCAAGAGCCUUUCAGUGAAAAGAGAGGCCUGACAACUGUGACUGAACUGUAGUUUUACUCAGACAUGUAGCGCACAGAUCAAGAUCACAACAGGAAUCUGCAUGUUUUCAGAGGACAGAUAAGAGUGGCAGUUCUCCUGAAUCUUAUGCAAUGGUGAGGUGAUGUUCUCCUGGGUUUCUGACAGUGCAAUAUGCUUCUAGUCUCUGACCUACAUUUCCAAAAAAUGCUGGCUUAGCAUCCUGUGUGUGAGCCUUCUUGUAAAAACAUUAAACUGUGCUAUGCUUCAGCCAACUUUGCCCUGAUGUGUCUUCUAACACCAACAUCUACUCCUCAGUCACACACAUACAUUUUGUGAUUUUUUUCUUCAAUAUUCUAAGGUGAUAAUCCUCCUCCUAGAAUGAGUGAUACUAGUUGCAGCCUCUCAGGUUUACAGCUGAUGGGUUAGGCAGCACUGGAUGUUGGGUGAGGAUAGGUCCUCAUUACACUACGUUUUGUGUUUUUGAAGUUUAAGAGUAGGUUCCAGUUGCAUCUAAAUCAGGUCUGAAAGCCAAGAUCUGAGAUUAACGAGGUGGUGAUUACAAUCAGUGUGGUCUGUUCCUUUACAAUUUUCUUUACCAUCUGUACUCAGUGGCUGGAGGGGAGGGGGCAGUGGAAUAAAGGCCUUUUAGCCCUUUUGGUGACCACAGACUCCAGUUCCUCAUGUACCACCUUUUUUGCUUUUUCCAACUGGACUUGAGGAACUUAUUUUCUUUCAAGAGGCUUUCAACCUAGUCUGUGAUGUACAUAGUGUGCAUUCCCUUGAUUUUAAGUGUCUUGAUGAGCUGGUCAGCCAGGACUUUCCUUUUUUCUUGCAGAAUCCUGACGAAUAGAGUGAGAGCUUCUUCCCAGGACAUGAACAAGGCUGCUUCUCAAAGCAGCGCUGAAGGUUUUCUGCCUUAUCAGUUUUAUAUGCACACCAUGUUUCUGAAGAAUCUGCUGGAAGUGGACCAUCAGCUCACUCUUCCAUAGCAUGAGACAGGUUAUAUUACUCCAUGUCUCCUCCUUGGGCCACACUUCAACAACUCAUGUAGAAGUCCAGAUAUGUGUUCCCCCUAUAUGGAGUCUGGUAUCUGUAUCUGGACCUGAUAUCAACUAGAUGUUAAAUAAUAUUGAGAAUGAGUUCACCAAGAGAUCUAGUACUGAUCUGGAUCAAGAUCUUCAUAUACUAAUUUGCUUCCAGACAGCAAUUGCAACAAACUAAGAAUUGUGCUGGGUAUUCGUGAGACCAAUUAACUCAGUAGUUGAGUCAGAAACUUUAUCUCUGAUUUUUCCAAGUACCUCUCCUAUUUUCUGCUCUCUCUCUUCUGAAAUAAAGAUUGCCUUGGAUGAUAGCUUAAAUGUUGGAGUUUUGCUAUGGCUGUAAUUGACCUUUCCACUUGUUCACACAGAACUGUUUAGUGAUUGCUGGUGAGCCUUGUAUAACCUGAUGAGGUCAUUGGAGCAGGGUAUACAUGGAGAGAGAUGAUAUGGCAUUUGUAAAUACCUCUGGAGAAGUUACAAGUCCAAAAAGGAAGUACUCUGUAUUUAUCUCCUUAUGGACUCGAGGUCUUAAGUGGACUGCAUGCCAUUGUUGCUCUUUGUACUACAAAGAAUCUUGUAUCCAUAUCAAAAUGUUUCCUUGGCACUGGUUCUAUCAUUCCAAUGUAUAUGGACUAUUAUGUACUUAAUUUUCUGAUGCUGCAAGGGAUCUUGUUGAUAAGGUUGGUUUAUUUUAAUUUACUAUAGGAAAAGGAUAAAUUUGUGCCGGGAACAGUGAGUAAUUUUUAAUGCAUAGCCUUCCCUGAAUAUCUUAAGCACCCGUUUUCUGAGGUGGUCCAUUCCCAGAUGCGAGACUACUCUGAAGUGUACCUCUAGGGUGGAUGGGGUAUAUGCCCAGACUUGGGAAACCCCCAAAAUUAGAAGCUCUUGGGGUUAUUGUUUUGCAGAGAAUCGCAGCCUUGGUCUUCCAACUCUUAGGAAAGAUAACAAUGGUCUAAUCUUGUAAUCUCUACACUGGAACCUGGAGGAGCAGAGGUUUCAAAGGGAACACCUGCUGGUAUAAGGUAGUAUCAUGGUUAAAGGCUGUUACUCCUCUGUCCCCUUCCUGGUGUCUCUGAAUUCAUUCCCUCAGGUGUCAGGCCUUGUGCCUUUACCUACCCUGGAGUGGAAUUCCACACUUCUCUGGUUUUUAGGCUGGCCCUGGGGCUAUUAUAUCCUGUGUAUCCAUUGUUCUUACCCAGCAGGUUCAACUGAGUUCAGCACCUGUAGUUCUUCCCUUUGGUAGUACAUGACCAGUGGUAUAUAGUGACCAAUCCCCCCAACCCCCUUAAAACCAACAUACUGUUUGUUGUAAGGGUAGGAACAAGAGGAUUUUAAAACUAUCUACAGGCAUGUCUCUUAAUUAAAGGCUUUUUUUUUCUGAUAGUAAUCUGGGCAGGGCUAACUUCUUGAGACACCUCAGUCAUGUUUCCCCCAAACUCCUCCCACUCUUUCAUUUUAAACCUGCCACAGUUCUUUUGAUCUUCUGGUUUCCAGGCUUUACCUGUCCUAGCAUUGUCUCUUAACAACUAUGAAGUGUUUGCUGAGACAUGUCUUAUCUUGAGUCAUCAUUCUUCCCUUCCUGCUUUUUCCCUUACAGACACUAUUAAACUAAACAAAUAUAUUCAUACAAUAAACACCCCACUAACCAGGUCAAUAUACUAUAUUUAUAAAUCAUUACAGAGCAGCUCCAAUUCCCUCACAGGUACUUUGAAGACUGAGCCUAGACCUCCCCAAGAAGAGACUGCAGCCAAUACUCUCAGGGCUGAGGUGGCUGUAUCUGCAUUCAGUAUGAGUGAUUAUCUUAUUCUCUUGUCUGUGGGCUUGGCUGUCUGAGAAAAUUCCCUCAGCUGGUAUGACUAUGCCUUUUUUCUAAGGAGGCCACAGCAGGCUGAACCUCAGGCAAAGUAAUGAAGACUUCUAGUCCUGAAGGCACGGAAUAAAGGAAUGGUCUCUCUGCACUGUGAAAGGUAGAGGUUUGAUCAUCAGUAUAAACUUGAUUAUUGGAGACCAGCCUACUGGAGAUUUUUUUCUUCAUACUGUCAUUAAAACUAUUUUUAUAAAGAUUUUUACAUUCUCAACUGUAACAGAAUUUAGUACAAAUGUAUCCUUUAAAGCAAUGUGAUACAUCAAGAAGAGUAAAUCAAAAUUUUUAAAAUACCUCUCCCUGCAAAAGUUUUUUGUUUUUGUUUUUUUUGUUUUUGGUCUUUUGAUAGUCUCUCAACCCUCCAGAACAGUAACUGCAACCGUGUUGAAAUCCCUGUUCUCAGGCUGGGCAACCUUCUAAACCUUAGAGAGAAAGCAAGCACAAAUCUGCCUCGCUUGGUGGGAAGAAGUGAGGAUAAUGAACUUGAUGAGCAUGGCUCUCCAGGCUGAAGUUCUCCAACUUGCAAGAAUGGAUUAAGCAAGGGAACAGUGAGACACGUACUCUGGCAUCUAUGCUCAAGCAAACCUUGUUCCCUGGGUUUUAUCACAAGCCUCGAGUUGGGGGUUCAAAUGGUGAAUUAGUAAUAAUUUUGAAGGAUGAUCUUUUUUACAUUUAAUGCCACAUAUUAAAAUGAAAAGGGGACAUAAAUGGCUGGUUAUGUUAAUUCUGCCAACAUUAAGUGUCUCUGUAACCUCUAGCACUCACUCUUGCUGGAAUUAUGUAACAUCUCUAAAUGCAUCCAUUGCAGAUUUACAGCAGGGCAAAACAAGAAAACUGGUGGCUACCAAGGUUCUCUCUCUGUGCAUGUGCCAUGUGCUUUGAAGGCAUGCUGAUUUUUUUUAGUUGGGGGUGUGUGUGUGUGUGUGUGUAAGUAAAAGCAAUAGUCUUUCAGCAAAGCAGACAAACACUUGUACAUGCCCAACUUAGGCACAUAAAUACUCCAAUACAUAUGCACAAUAAGGAUUUGCACACACAUACAGCUAUGUUUGCAAGCAAACCCCACCUUGUACGUGCAUUAGGGUAUAUGUUCAUACAAGUUGACUGCUUGGGCAUUUCUAAAAUCUUGAUCAGAAAUGUACAUCCACUACAGGUGUUAAAUGGCAGAUUUAUUAAGGCAAAUUUAACUAUAAAGACUUCAAAGAGGCAGAGGCUAAUUGUCUUAAUUAGACUAUCAUCCCUUUGAUUUUCAUGCAACUUCAGUAGUGUGACUGGUAUUUUCCUGGGUUUUAGAAUUUUGGCAUACCAAGAACAUCAAUAUUGGAAUGGAUUCCAUAGAAAGAAACAUAAUUCAUUAAACCAAAUUCUUCUUCUACCAAAUUAAGUGUGAAUAUUAGCUUGCAUUUCCGACAAAAUAAAUGUGAGCAUUAGACUGGCAUAUGCUGUAUUUUCAGUCAUAUAGUACUUACCAUAUCAAUGGUUUUCAGAAUGACAGUGUAGUUGUUGAAGAAGUUUGUGUAUGUUUGAAACUGCCACCCAAAUUGAGUGAAUAUUUCACCCAAGCACUGGGAUGGACUCCAUUCCUGAAGUCUUUCCGUCAGCUCAUUUAAAAACUGCCUGUAUUUGAAAUAAAUAGAGAGAGAUGUCUGUUUUUCCACAGUUCCCUGGCCAAAUUACUGUUUGGAUAACUACAUUCUUUCUAGUGUUAAAAAUAAAUAAAUCCCGUUCUAGUUUUAAUUGCAUACAGUUUUCUCAUUCUUGUCCUAGAGUGCUGUUUAGAGUUAAAGUACGCUGUUAAACAAUUGCCAUGUUUUCAUCCCAGAGCUGGCAGUGAAGUGAUUUCUGUAUAUCUUAUAAAGUGCUUUGGGAUCUGUAUGGAUGAUAGUUAUGAUAUAAAUAGAAGUUCUUUAUCAUUUAAACCUUAAAAAUGUGGGUAGCUUAUAAAAUCAGCCCUUUUUUACUGCCUUGAAAGAUUUACAAUGCUCACCUCUUUUAGGCUAUCUAAAGUUUUGCAUAAGGAAAUGCAUAUAUUUUUUUCACUGACAGGAUAUGUUUUUCUCAACUACUGAUGCCCCAGUUCCAAGUAGCUACCAUAGGACCAAUGAAUGUUAGACUGUUGUGUAAUGUUGGCCUGGGAUCUAUUUUUAAUCAUCUGAAUUGCAACUAAUUUUUUUUAAACUGCAGGAAUGGGAAAUGUACACAUAGAACUUGCAAGGGAAAUAAAAACAUGAUUAUGU